This 444-nucleotide ribosomal RNA is filed under the name uncultured bacterium. Its description in RNAcentral is "partial 16S ribosomal RNA". It matches the Rfam family "Bacterial small subunit ribosomal RNA", at positions 338 to 795 of the family's 1533-position model. The record is from RNAcentral.
CCUACGGGGGGCUGCAGUGGGGGAUAUUGGACAAUGGGGGAAACCCUGAUCCAGCGACGCCGCGUGAGUGAAGAAGUAUUUCGGUAUGUAAAGCUCUAUCAGCAGGGAAGAAAGAAAAUGACGGUACCUGACUAAGAAGCUCCGGCUAACUACGUGCCAGCAGCCGCGGUAAUACGUAGGGGCCAAGCGUUAUCCGGAUUUACUGGGUGUAAAGGGAGCGUAGACGGCAGCGCAAGUCUGGAGUGAAAUGCCGGAGCCCAACCCCGGAACUGCUCUGGAAACUGUGAAGCUGGAGUGCAGGAGAGGUAAGCGGAAUGCCUAGUGUAGCGGUGAAAUGCGUAGAUAUUAGGAGGAACACCGGUGGCGAAGGCGGCUUACUGGACUGUAACUGACGUUGAGGCUCGAAAGCGUGGGGAGCAAACAGGAUUAGAUACCCUUGUAGUC